CUGUUUUUGAAUGUGCUGUAUAUCAAGGAAGGCACAUAAUGUGAUCAUUUUUUUCUUGGAAGCAAAACUACAUGCAGAAAUGAAAUUAUGGCAUCUGAACUUAUAGCACAGAAUCAAUAUAUAUAAUAACUAGAACACAAUGAAUAAAAAGACACAAAAAUAUUUCCACAGUAUUAUAGACUUGCCACUCUAAAUCCUAAGAAGGUCCCUCCCUCUCUCCUCAUCAUGACACAGAAUUUGUUGGAUCUCAAACUUCUAGAGUAAAUACUCUUGACUAUCCCUCUGAAUCUUUUCUUAGGUCAACAAAAGAGUUCUAAUCAGUUGGUCUGCAGGUAUUUAGUAUUUACUAUGUUCCAGGCACUGUUUUAAACAUUGGGAAUACAAAGGCUAAAAAGUACCACUCCUGACCUCAUGAAUUAACAGGGAAACUAUGAUUUCUCAUAUAGUUGACACACAGUUUCCCAUAAUAACCACCAUCAAGAAGAGGCAGGAACUCUGAAGUCAGUUUCCACUCACUUGUGGCAUGGGAAGAUGGAGCUCAGGAUUUUUUGUGAACUAGAACUCAGGAAAAACAUGCCCUCAAAGAGGUAAAAAGAUGCAAAAUAAGACUGGCUGGCCAUGCUGCAGGCUGUUCGACCUCACAUGAAGAAAAAAAUGGCGGAGCACUAGAGCUUUGGUUCCUGCCCACGCCCUCAGGGAUUGGGCCAGUCCAGGUGGGAAAAACUAUAAGAUGGACUCUACUUAUAUUUUGAAGAACCAACACAAGAUGCUUGACCAUCUCUCAUGGCCUAUCUCAACAGACUCCAGGAUAAGAAACUUGCUACCUCCCCAAAUCAAGAAAGUGAACUGUUUGGAGAAGGUGCCAUAAAGAAGCCUGCAGAAACCACACACUGCAUCAAAAGAUCCAGAAUGAAAUUUGGGAUGUAGUGAAUUGAACCAUGGGGGGUUGAACACAUUUAUUUUGAAUGUAAACUCUUAUACCAAAGGGGACUGCCCCCUAAUUGGCUUUGUGUCAAUGCACCUAGCAAUCAUUGGUUUUGUUCUCUUUCUCUUUUAUUUCCCUCUUAUCUCCAAAUUAUUGUAAUUUCUCCAUAGAAAUUACAAUAUUAUAUGUACCUCUAUCUAGUUAAAGAUCUUUAGAGAUAUAAGUUGGUCAUGUGUAUUGAUUCAUUGGGGAAACUAGGCAUGUAAAUCUGGGAGAUUUCUGCAUGUUCAUUUCCCAAUGGAAUCACAGGGGGGAUUGUGUAGUUGGAAUUUACUCCCCAGAACUCUCUUUCCCAGCUUCCCAAUUUUCUUCUCACAUUAUAUCCUAACAUAGGGAGGAUAUAUUUUGAGUGUAGCUCCUCCCUCUCUCUCUACUCUGGGGAAAUCGAUUGUAGAGGCUGGGUGAGAACCAGGCAGGUGAAUUUUACCCACAUGUUUUUACUUUUUUUUUUGCUUAGGUUUUUUUUUAAUUUUUGUUCUUUUAUUUCUUCUACUUCAAAUGAUUACUAAUAAAUAUUAUAAAAUAUAAUACUUG
This 1519-nucleotide long non-coding RNA is filed under the name Monodelphis domestica (gray short-tailed opossum). Its description in RNAcentral is "lncRNA (ENSMODG00000050415.1)". Lineage: Eukaryota; Metazoa; Chordata; Mammalia; Didelphimorphia; Didelphidae. The record is from RNAcentral.